This 251-nucleotide ribosomal RNA is filed under the name Vibrio splendidus. Its description in RNAcentral is "partial 16S ribosomal RNA". It matches the Rfam family "Bacterial small subunit ribosomal RNA", at positions 1297 to 1533 of the family's 1533-position model. The record is from RNAcentral. Lineage: Bacteria; Pseudomonadati; Pseudomonadota; Gammaproteobacteria; Vibrionales; Vibrionaceae.
AUUGGAGUCUGCAACUCGACUCCAUGAAGUCGGAAUCGCUAGUAAUCGUGAAUCAGAAUGUCACGGUGAAUACGUUCCCGGGCCUUGUACACACCGCCCGUCACACCAUGGGAGUGGGCUGCAAAAGAAGUGGGUAGUUUAACCUUUCGGGGAGGACGCUCACCACUUUGUGGUUCAUGACUGGGGUGAAGUCGUAACAAGGUAGCCCUAGGGGAACCUGGGGCUGGAUCACCUCCUUAUACGAAGAUACC